AUUUUGAGUAUGAUUUGAACAGUUGUAUAACAUUUUGUCUUAAUGGUAAUUUUCUAAAAAAAAAAAAAAAAUCAGUGAAUUGAAUUCAGUGAUGUUAAGUGAAUGCAACAAUAUUAUUUGACAAGUCUGUAAUCUGUCUGCUCCCGUAAGAAAGAGGCAGCAGUCCGAGUUGUAUUAUAUCCUAUUCCAACCUGUUGCCUGCUGUAGAAUCACACAUGCACCAAUGAAAAUAUACAUGCUGAGUGAACCAAUUUCUGAGGCAAUACCACUUAACUAAGAAGCUGUACAUAGGAUAAAACUCUGCUAAAAGUAAAAGCAUAAAGCUUUUGGUAAAUGCAAACUAGUUUUUCCUUGUUACUGACCUAAGUAUCUAGAGUAAAACUGCCUUUCAGAUAAUCUACAUGCCAACACACAUAAGUAGCAUUCAUACUUUAAAUGAGGUCUUAUAUGUGAAUAUAUUUUAUACAAAAGCAUAUAUAUGUGCAUGGAUGAGCACAUCCAGAAUUGGUAGCUGUACAAAUAGAAACUGUCUGAUUGUGGUCUGUAACUGUUUCUUUGGGCUCUGGUCUGAAUUUGGGAGAAUGAGGCAGGAUCAGUGGAAUUUCAAUGUGUUUAACUUUGGGCUGGAAAGUUGGUAAGCAGCAUUCUUCCCUGUGAGUCAUUCACUGCCUGGUACAUAGCGACUCAUCAUCAUGUUUUGGUACCAUGCAGCUGAAUGUGCCUACAUCAACCGCUUGGAGUUUUUCUUCACAUAUUCCCUGACAUCUUUCUAAGAAUGAUGUGUUAGUACUCCUUUCCUGACUGUACUCCAAGUGGAGUAAUAAAAUUGUUGUUUCCAAA
Long non-coding RNA from Oxyura jamaicensis (ruddy duck), 840 nucleotides. RefSeq lists it as uncharacterized. The record is from RefSeq and is a predicted model, not a curated record. The transcript has 3 exons. Lineage: Eukaryota; Metazoa; Chordata; Aves; Anseriformes; Anatidae.